RNAcentral lists this ribosomal RNA (253 nucleotides) under uncultured bacterium. RNAcentral's name for it is "partial 16S ribosomal RNA". It matches the Rfam family "Bacterial small subunit ribosomal RNA", at positions 524 to 776 of the family's 1533-position model. The record is from RNAcentral.
GACAGAGGGUGCAAACGUUGUUCGGAAUUACUGGGCGUAAAGCGCGUGUAGGCGGCUAUGCAAGUCGGAUGUGAAAGCCCUGGGCUUAACCUAGGAAGUGCAUUCGAAACUGCUGGGCUUGAGUUCUGGAGAGGAAGGCGGAAUUCUCGGUGUAGAGGUGAAAUUCGUAGAUAUCGAGAGGAACACCGGUGGCGAAGGCGGCCUUCUGGACAGUGACUGACGCUGAGACGCGAAAGCGUGGGGAGCAAACAGG